UGCCAGCAGCCGCGGUAAUACGGAGGGUGCAAGCGUUACUCGGAAUCACUGGGCGUAAAGCGCAUGUAGGCGGUCUUGUAAGUUGGGUGUGAAAGCCUAUGGCUCAACCAUAGAACUGCACCCAAAACUACUAGACUAGAGUCUGGGAGAGGAAAAUGGAAUUAGUUGUGUAGGGGUAAAAUCCGUAGAGAUAACUAGGAAUACCAAAAGCGAAGGCAAUUUUCUGGAACAGUACUGACGCUCAGAUGCGAAAGCGUGGGUAGCAAACAGGAUUAGAUACCCUGGUAGUCCACGCCCUAAACGAUGAAUGUUAGUCGUCGGGAGGCUCGUCCUUUCGGUGAUGCAGUUAACACAUUAAACAUUCCGCCUGGGGAGUACGGUCGCAAGAUUAAAACUCAAAGGAAUUGACGG
RNAcentral lists this ribosomal RNA (411 nucleotides) under uncultured Sulfurovum sp. Its description in RNAcentral is "bacterial SSU rRNA". It matches the Rfam family "Bacterial small subunit ribosomal RNA", at positions 506 to 916 of the family's 1533-position model. Lineage: Bacteria; Pseudomonadati; Campylobacterota; Epsilonproteobacteria; Campylobacterales; Sulfurovaceae. The record is from RNAcentral.